UAUUCUAUUUAUACUAGGCUAGAAAAACUGGAAAAAAUGCCCCUGUGGGGUUAGUGCGGGCCACACAAAACCAACCGCGGCCGCACUAGCUCUUUGACUUAGCAAUUUUUAACUGUCUAAACUGGAGGACACGGACUGCACAAAUGAGUAGUGUGGCCACAAAAGGGGUCUCGCAUGGACCACAGGCCGCGUGGCUUUGACUUCGCUCUUAGAUAAUCUCUCUGAAUCUCGCUCAUGCGGACCUCAAAAAUGAGUAAAGUGGCCGCGAAGACUGAGUGCGGACCACGUGAAUCCAACCGCGGUCACGUAGCCAUUAGCCUUAAUAUGCUAUGCCUCUGAAUGUCCUAGUGUGGCCGCGGUUUCUUUCACGCAGAUUGCACUAGGUCCUCUUUUCUUCACUUCACUUAAUCUGUGACACUUGAGCAGGUUUCACUCCAUUUGGGGUCGAUCUUUGAUAUUUUAUCACUUUGUCGAUCAAACCUGCAAUCAAAAACCACUUGUGAGCAUUUCGGGACUAUUUUGUAGCAAUUUAUACUCAAAGCAUAGGCAAGUAGGGGCAAAAACAUAUUAAAAUCCUAACUUAUCGCAAUUCAGAGAUAGAGCUGGAUGGGACUAAUUUAUAGGGCAUAUGGAUGGUGGUAAUGAGCAUUUGGUAAACGAAUUCUACAAAAAUAUGGCCCACAUCAAAAAGGGUACCACAGUCACCAAGGUGCGGAAUUUGAAAGUGAAGUUUGAUGGCAAGACCAUCAAUGACUAUUUAGGAUUCAGAGAGGAGGAUGAAUCCCUAUACUUGGAGAAUAUGCAGUUGGGUGAAGAAGCCCAUCCGUGGUUGGCGGAGUCUGUGGAAAUCCCAUGUACCACCCCCGAGUGGCUGACUGCGGGGUUGAAGAUAUUGAGGAGGAUAUUGAACUUCGAGGCGAAGGGGUAGGAGACAUUUGUGUGCAGCAGGAUAAACCAUACCACGCAUGAUAACUCACUCCCACUUUAUCGGGAGAUCUUAGUAGCAUCUAUUAGAGUGGAUACCCGAUCAAUGUCGGAAAUGUGAUGUCUAGGGUCAUUGCAUGGGUAAUGAGUGAGGGUGACAGGUCCUACCCAUUCCCCAACUUCCUAACGAUGUAUUUGGAGGACCUCAAUGUGGAUAAAUGCAGAUUUCACAUGAAAGUUAAGGCAAAGGCACCUUUCUCGUGGUAUAGACUACAGGGUGAUGACAACCCUAAGAGCAAGCAUUGCAAAAGGAAAUCCACUACUUCAACUAGCCAGUCUGAAAAGCCAGUUGUGGUAGUGAUUAUUCCACAUCCUCCUUCCACUACAGCAGAUAUGGCCCUAGGCCCAUCCAGUUCCUCAGCUCCAGAGAUACCUUCCACCACUGCCUAUCCAUUGACUGCCCAUCAUUUGAGCCAGGCCCUCACCAAUAUCAACAACUGGAUGAACAUAACUACUUCUAAGCUGUCUGUAUUAUCUACUAUCGUGGCAGCUCAGUCAGCACUUCCUCCUCCAUAGGUCCCACAGUCCAUUGAGGACACCCUCAAGGAUCUUCUGGACAACUGGAAAAAGAUCCUUGAUAACCAGAAAUUGCUGACGGACGCUCUUGAUUCACACGGAAAGGCUAUCAAAGAGCUUGCUAGGGAGGCCAAUAAGAUGAGGAAUACUAGGGCUUCCAAAGAGUCGGUGAAAGAGUUACGGGUCGGGGUUAAGAUAUUGAAGGCAGAUCACCUGGCUUUAGAUUUCCUAUAACAUGACCCUAUGCCAGCAGCCCAUCCCAUCUAGAGCAGUCCUUGAGGUCUCUCAAGAGGAAGAGGGUGAUGCCCAGUUUGUUGAUGCAGUUAUCCAGUUGGCGGACCCAUUGCAGACUUCCUCUAGUCAGCCAUAAGAUGCAUCCCAGGAGCUUGUCCAGGUCCAGGCAUAGGUCCCAGCAACAGAUCCACAUGUCACAUGGAGCCAAUCACAGAUUCUCGAGCAUAUAGAGGACCCAUAGACUAAUACUUAGGACCCCAUGCAUACGGACGUCCCAUAAGGAGUCUCUUUUUUCUCUUUCAUCUAUUAUGUGCUUAUUUUUCUUAGUUGGCAUUAAGGACAAUGCAAGCCUUCAUUUUAGGGGGUAGGCCCUAUUUGGAUUUGGAUGACUGUAUGUAUAUGAAAGAUUUUAUUCUUUCUUUCUUUCUUUUUCAUCUUUGAUAUGUAUAUAAUUUCAACAUUUCAUUACAUUUUUUUUACUUUUUUUUACCUUGGGUCUGUAUAUAAAAUUUAUGAUUCAAUGUAUGUAUUCAUCUCCCCUAUUGUUUAUUAGAUUAAAUCCCCUCUUAUACAUAUUCAAUUUACUUUUCGCAAUUUUCCUUUUCUUAGCUGCUUAUUUUACAUUUGUAGUUUCUUGUUUUGAGUUUUUUGCAAUAAGCCUUUAGUUUUCUUAAUGCCACGACUAUUUCCAAAGAUGGAAUUUGUGUGAACCGGGUGGCUCUUCUUGAUGAUGGAUGGCAUGACAGCCUUCUUAAGGGUUUGAGUCUCUUUUUAUUUUCUUUUUUUCUUUUUAGUAGUUAGUGGUAAGGAUGCCUCAAGCAAAGCUUCACUUGGGCCUAGCACAUUUGCCUUGGAUCUUAUGGUCAAAAUUAAAUUAUUGUGUAUAGGAUGGUGAAAGAUUUGAUCUUGAGACUCUUGUGAUGGCCGAUAAUUAUCAAGUGGUUUUUCGGGGCCAUUGUGUGCUCAAAUAUUAUCUAAGGUUGUUGUGGGAACCAUGCACUGUGUCUUUAACGAUCCUAUAGCUUGCGUGGUGAGAAAUUGCAUUACAAGUCCAAGUUCUGAGGCAUUGGUCUAGAGCUUGCCCUGAAUGUUUGUCUAGGAAAAUUCCUAAGUGGAAUUUGACUUAAGACAUGAUUAUUGUCUCUCCUUGAUCCAAAUGAUAGCUUGAACACUUCCAUAGCCUACCAAUGAUAAAAUCCCUAGUCGACCCUUUUGAGCCUUAGAUCUUUUUCCUUCAAGAACCAUGAUACAAGCCUUUACCUAUUCUGAACAAUACCCUCUCUUGACACAAUCUUUCUUUAGCACAUGGAAAAAGUAUAAGUUUAGGGAGAAAGACGAGGAUUGCAACAAAGUGGUAAAAAGGUACAAAAUGAAGAAAAUAAAAGGCAAUGAAAAAGAAUGAAAAGAAAAAAGACAAAAAGAAUGUUCAAUAUAGAAAUAAAUAAAGUGAUUCAAUAAAAGCAAAAAUUGAAAUGUGUGGAAAGUUGAGAAAAAGAAAAGAUUUGAAAUGAACAAGAAAGAGUGAAGGUGUGUCUCUCUAACCCCUUGGAAAGAAGUGAAAUAAGUUAAGUGAAUGCGUGUCAAAAUAAAGAAAAAGAAGUGCUUAAGGGAAGAUGGAACCUACUUAGACAAAAUAUUUCCUACCCUGAACACAAAGCCUUCAUUAUGUCUCCACAAAAGCCCUAUAUGAUCUCUAGUUAAAUGAAGCUUACAUUAGUUGUGACUCACAUAAGGGGUAAGCAUAUGGUACUUAGAGCCGGAAUUGUAACUUCUUCUUGAGAGAGAUGAGUUUAUUUUCAUUAACUUCGCUCUGAGUUCCACUGUCCUAAAGGUGAGGUUUUCUUAGAGAGAGUCAAAGAUGUGUGAGUUUGGGUUCCACAAUGACCAAAGUAAUAGAAAGACAUUCUUUGAUGUGUUGAGUCAAAUCUUAAUGCUCUGUGUCGCACUAAAUCCAUGGUGUUUAAAAGAGUGAAUGUUGUUACUGAUUCAUUUGAAUUGAGGGAAAUUGUUAGUCCCAAUUGAUGCUAGAUAUGGUCACUUUAGGUCGGCUGAAUUUUCUUGGAUUGACUCUUAAAGGGUGGAUCUUAUUUUGUUUGGUUGAGGACAAGGUAAAACGUAAAUUUGGGGGAGUUGAUAACUAGGGAUUAUAAUGCAUUUUACACUCCUUCUUGCUUAAGUUUUGAUUAGAAAUGUGUACAAAAUAGUUCCAAAGGCUCACAAGUUGUGCUUGAUUGCAGGUUUGAUCAACAAGGUGACAAGGUGUCAAAACCAACUCAAAAAAGGAGUACUUGAACAAGUACCAAGACUAGCCCAAGCUCAAUCAUACAGGGUCCGCGUGGCCGCACACCAUUCUGUGUGGUCCACAAAGAUAAAGAUCAAAGUGUGUGCUUCUGAGUCAGCCAUGCAAUGCGGACGCAAAGGGCUUUUGUACGGUCCACAUUGAUUCCACUGCAGCCGCACUCGAUUUCAUGCGGUAAGCAAAGCCAAAGUUCAAAGAGGUGACAAUUGGAGGAUUAAGCUCAAUGCGGUCCGCGGUUCAUUUUUUGUGCGGGCCACAAUAGAAGCCACCACGACCGUGAUGCAUUUUGUGCAGUCCGCAGUGGCCAACUUCAGAGAGGAGAUUAGUCAAGCUAAGAGCCUUAGUGAGGCUACAUCCGCAGGGAUAUUUUUGUCCAGAAUUUUCAGCCUAGGAUAACUAGUUUCUUUUGCCAUUUUUAGGACAUAAGAUAGAUUUUGGGAUAGAGCUGCGCUUAUGAAUACGUUUAUUAUACCAUUUUGAGUAAUUUUAGCCUUAUUUCACUAUUGAAUCUUCAAGUUUUAUCUAAUAAUUAAUGAUUAUGGGUUUUUUUUCUUAUAUUUCUUUGUUUUCUUCCAAAAUUAUGAGUAGCUAGACCCAUUAGCUAGGGUUGUAGCUCACCCUAGUGUGGGUAAUUGAUAGGUCUUGUCUUUUAAUGCUUGAUUGUCUAUGGGUAUUUGGUAUUUGGCUAAUUUAGGGUUUUAAUGUUGAAUUACUGAUUGCAAUCACUAUUUUAUGCCUAGUUGACUUUGGCUCUUCUUGAGAAAGAGAGUCUAAGUCCGUGAUAUUAGCCCACCAAGGAAUUGGGGAGUAUUCAAGAAUUGAUAGCCCCAAAUAAAGAGUUAAACCUAGAGAUGGUAAUACCGACUUGAACCUCAAUUUCUUGCACAAAUUUUCAUACCCAAUUGGUCUUGAGAAAGUCAAUUCGGACAAAAUCACUUGAACUACCGAGAGGUAUAGAGUGAGUAGAAUCGUCCAAUGGUUAUAUCAUACUCCCCGAAUUUGACAACGUAGCCUUAGACUCAAGAAAUCGUCAAUUGGCCACCUAGGAGAAACUCACUACCCUAGUGCCCUUUUAUCUAUUUGAACAACUCUCAAUAGUUUAAUCUUAGCAUUACUUAGUCUAAAUUAGCAUCCUAGUAGUCAAAAAUUAGAAGUAAAAAUUCAAAACCAACAAUGUUUAGAAGUGCAAUUAGGAACAAAUACGCAACUCCAACUUAGAUAGAAACUCAACUCUAAUAUCUAGCUCCCUGUGGAGAUCGAUCCCAACCUUCUCGGGUAAAAGCUGCUUCGACCUUUCUUGCUAGUUCAUAGUAGUACAGGGUUGGCCUCGAUCAACAUGCAUUAGGACUGUGCUACAUCUUGCAAGGUAUCAAGGCUAUAACAUUUGAAUAACUUGCGACUCAUGCCCAUGACAUGGAGUAAGCAUGACCUCUGCUAGCAAUGAAAUGAUGUAUAUCUAUGAGCCUCGCAAAGGAAUGACAAGCAAGAAGUCAGGAAAUGGAGCGAUUUUGCGCCCAAAUCUAAAAACAAAGAAGCUAUGAAUGUCAACACAUAACCUAUGAAGUUCACAAUGAAGGUGAGCAAUAAGUAGAGUACGAAAUCCACUUAUUUUAAAGAUAAACCAAGUGGAAAGUUGACUCUAAAAUAAAUGCAAGAGAAGGAAGGAGUACCCAUUUUUGGAUUCUGAUGGAUAUCAAGUAUUAUCCCUAUAAGGAAGAAGAAUGGUCAGAUUCGGGUGUUCGUUGACUUUAGGGAUCCAAAAUAUAUAUGCCCCAAAUAUGAAUUGGCAACUACGUGUUAUUAAGUUGGCGAGUGCCACAGAAAAUUCAAAUAACGGCACACCUCGAUUGCUAAAGGAUUAAAAUUAGUUAAGUGAGGGCCAUACAUUAUGGGAUUCAUUUGUGAAUGGCACGCCUCACUUUAUUUCAAAAGAUUCGUAUUCAACUAAAGCGAACUAUGGAUGUUCAAAAGUGACCAUCCAACUUGUUUGGAAUCGAUCUCAGACAUGUAGAAAUUUAUAGAUCUAAUUUUGAAAGCUUCAAUAACAAACAGGAGGCUGCCAAGGAUAUUAUGUCCGUUCAUACAGGGACACAUAGCAAAACCUUUAAUGUAAUUAUGAAGUAGCACCAGACAAAAAAAAAAACUGCAGCAUAUAUAAAGUAAAAUCUUUAUCUAAAGGUAAUUGAGCAUUGUGUUAUUUACACAUAUGGCGAAUUAUUUGGGAUCAAUAAACAUCUGCUAGUAGUAGUCAUCUCUAUUGCAAAGGAAGAAGAUUCAAAAGGAAGCAAUUGUAGGAGACCGUAUCACAGUGAGAGCAAAACAGGAACAUGUGCUCUUAACAAACGCACCGUCAAUAAUGUUAAAACGUUUCAUAUAAACGUAGAUUUACCUUACAUCGGCAUCAAACUGACAGCCAUAUAAUACGGAUUAUUACAACAAAUUUACUCAAACAACUUAUAACAACAGAACCAAAUAGAAGGAAGAGAGAGCAAAAGUUUACCUCUAUAUCUCAGAACCUCCGCAUGCAUUACAUGGCUGGAAAAUAGAGUCUUGACCAGAAACCACCGGAAACAACAAGCCUCAACACGGAUUCACAGACUCGAACCUCAAAUCAGCGACUGGCAACAGAUUCAGACUCAAAACAAUCCUCAACUUCAGUUAAACUUUAUGUUUCGAAAAUCUGUUCGUGCGCGUGACUGUGUGUGUAUGUUUUUUGGAAGAAGGGUCUGUUGGUUUUAUGAAGAAGAAGCAGCAACUUCUCUUCAUCUAUGGUUGAGGUCCGUUCAACUGGAUGAAGCAGCUAGAUCCGGUUAAGGGAGUGGUCAAUGAAGGUUUGAUGAAGGAGAUGACUAUGGGGGUGGGGUCUGGUUGAAGAAGAAGCAAAAUCGUGGAUCUUCGAUGGUGCCUCCUCUAAUGGAGGUCCUGGUCGUGAAAAUGAAAAAGCAGCACAACGGAUGGGGGUUGGUUCUUUUGUGUUACAACGGCGCUCUCAUGUAGGUAUUAGGC
RNAcentral lists this long non-coding RNA (7039 nucleotides) under Nicotiana benthamiana. RNAcentral describes it as "long non-coding RNA (NBEN_LNC028439)". Lineage: Eukaryota; Viridiplantae; Streptophyta; Magnoliopsida; Solanales; Solanaceae. The record is from RNAcentral.